This 500-nucleotide ribosomal RNA is filed under the name uncultured bacterium. Its description in RNAcentral is "partial 16S ribosomal RNA". It matches the Rfam family "Bacterial small subunit ribosomal RNA", at positions 30 to 523 of the family's 1533-position model. The record is from RNAcentral.
AUUGAACGCUGGCGGAAUGCUUUACACGUGCAAGUCGAACGGCAGCACGGACUUCGGUCUGGUGGCGAGUGGCGAACGGGUGAGUAACAUAUCGGAACGUAUCCAAUAAUGGGGGAUAACUAAUCGAAAGGUUGGCUAAUACCGCAUACGCCCUACGGGGGAAAGCAGGGGAUCUUCGGACCUUGCGUUAAUGGAGCGGCUGAUAUCUGAUUAGCUAGUUGGUGAGGUAAAGGCUCACCAAGGGGACGAUCAGUAGCUGGUCUGAGAGGACGACCAGCCACACUGGAACUGAGACACGGUCCAGACUCCUACGGGAGGCAGCAGUGGGGAAUUUUGGACAAUGGGCGCAAGCCUGAUCCAGCCAUUCCGCGUGAGUGAAGAAGGCCUUCGGGUUGUAAAGCUCUUUCGCAAGGGAAGAAAACUUACUUUCUAAUAAAGAGUGAGGUUGACGGUACCUUGAUAAGAAGCACCGGCUAACUACGUGCCAGCCGCCGCGGUAA